This 521-nucleotide ribosomal RNA is filed under the name uncultured Glomeraceae. RNAcentral describes it as "SSU rRNA". It matches the Rfam family "Eukaryotic small subunit ribosomal RNA", at positions 569 to 1092 of the family's 1831-position model. The record is from RNAcentral. Lineage: Eukaryota; Fungi; Glomeromycota; Glomeromycetes; Glomerales; Glomeraceae.
AGCAGCCGCGGUAAUUCCAGCUCCAAUAGCGUAUAUUAAAGUUGUUGCAGUUAAAAAGCUCGUAGUUGAAUUUCGAGACCGGUUUAUUGGUCGUGCUUUUGUACGUACUGGUAUUAUUGGUUUCUCCUUUCUGACGAAUCUUAAUGCCAUUAAUUUGGUGUUUUGGGGAAUCAGGACUGUUACUUUGAAAAAAUUAGAGUGUUUAAAGCAGGCUCACGCUUGAAUACAUUAGCAUGGAAUAACGAAAUAGGACGUUUGAUUUUAUUUUGUUGGUUUCUAGGAUCGACGUAAUGAUUAAUAGGGAUAGUUGGGGGCAUUAGUAUUCAAUUGUCAGAGGUGAAAUUCUUGGAUUUAUUGAAGACUAACUACUGCGAAAGCAUUUGCCAAGGAUGUUUUCAUUAAUCAAGAACGAAAGUUAGGGGAUCGAAGACGAUCAGAUACCGUCGUAGUCUUAACCAUAAACUAUGCCGACUAGGGAUCGGAUGAUGUUAAUUUUUUAAUGACUCAUUCGGCGCCUUACG